GGCAACGUGGCCGAGUGGUUAAGGCGAAUGCCUCGAAGCAAUCAGCUCAGUAAGCAUUUUCCUUCGGGAGCGCAGGUUCGAAUCCUGCCGUUGUCG
RNAcentral lists this transfer RNA (96 nucleotides) under Fusarium equiseti. RNAcentral's name for it is "tRNA-Ser". It matches the Rfam family "tRNA". Rfam says of the family: Transfer RNA (tRNA) molecules are approximately 80 nucleotides in length. The record is from RNAcentral. Lineage: Eukaryota; Fungi; Ascomycota; Sordariomycetes; Hypocreales; Nectriaceae.